UGGUGCCAGGGCAAUGAAACUAGUUCUACAAGCUAGCAUCAAGUCAGUUUCAGCAUGCCCCACAAGUCGGAUCCCACCUUCAGAGCCCACUUUCGUCAUCGUCUUCCUCCAGCGAUCGGCACUUGGACAUCACCUUCCUCCGAUAGUUGCAAGUGCCCCAGUUUUCUCUGUUGACUCUCCUCGACUGUUAUCGGCUCCGUCAAGCAAUCACACCACCUCCAGCAAGUAUCAUGUGCAUCAAAUUAUCUCCAGUAUGUAUCACCUGCACUAAGUUAGAUAAUUUGCACAGUUCCUCUAUAUGGCAUUGAUAAAUUCGUUACUGAUCAUGGAUCAAUGAAUUGGGUUGCUUACCAUGAUAAAACCAAUUGAUGAAGUACAGAAGAACAAACGGACAGGCAGAUAGCAAACUUCAAACAU
RNAcentral lists this long non-coding RNA (417 nucleotides) under Triticum aestivum (bread wheat). RNAcentral describes it as "long non-coding RNA (TAES_LNC004313)". The record is from RNAcentral. Lineage: Eukaryota; Viridiplantae; Streptophyta; Magnoliopsida; Poales; Poaceae.